Molecule: ribosomal RNA, 477 nt
Filed under: uncultured organism
Description: partial 16S ribosomal RNA
Rfam family: Bacterial small subunit ribosomal RNA
Source: RNAcentral
GUACACUCCUACGGGAGGCAGCAGUGGGGAAUUUUGGACAAUGGGCGAAAGCCUGAUCCAGCCAUGCCGCGUGCAGGAUGAAGGCCUUCGGGUUGUAAACUGCUUUUGUACGGAACGAAACGGCCUUUUCUAAUAAAGAGGGCUAAUGACGGUACCGUAAGAAUAAGCACCGGCUAACUACGUGCCAGCAGCCGCGGUAAUACGUAGGGUGCAAGCGUUAAUCGGAAUUACUGGGCGUAAAGCGUGCGCAGGCGGUUAUGUAAGACAGUUGUGAAAUCCCCGGGCUCAACCUGGGAACUGCAUCUGUGACUGCAUAGCUAGAGUACGGUAGAGGGGGAUGGAAUUCCGCGUGUAGCAGUGAAAUGCGUAGAUAUGCGGAGGAACACCGAUGGCGAAGGCAAUCCCCUGGACCUGUACUGACGCUCAUGCACGAAAGCGUGGGGAGCAAACAGGAUUAGAAACCCCGGUAGUCCCAUG